Molecule: long non-coding RNA, 1938 nt
Filed under: Lactuca sativa (garden lettuce)
Lineage: Eukaryota; Viridiplantae; Streptophyta; Magnoliopsida; Asterales; Asteraceae
Description: long non-coding RNA (LSAT_LNC009895)
Source: RNAcentral
UCAAAUUCAAAACUCAAAUACAAAAAAAUACGAAAAUUAUUCUUCAAUCACCCCUUAUCACGCCUCUUCCUCCUCUAAUUUCUCAUUCGGUUUUGGAAACCAAAUCUCCAUUAUAUACGCCAAGCCAUAGCUAUCUAUAUUAAUGUUGUCAUCCUCUUUUGAAAUUUUCAUUUUUUUCUCCACUGACCACAAACUUCGAUCACUACAGUCUUCUUUUGUUUUUUAUUUUUGUAGAUUUUUCUACUGGUUAUGGACUUCAGGAGUAGGUAUGUAUUUUCUCUCCAUCUAUAUUAAUUUUGAUUUUGGAACUCAAUUGUUAUACUACUUUUGAGGUUUUUAAUUGAUAUGUCUAUGCAGUUGGGUUAAUUUCUCUCUACAUCUCCAGAAAUCAACGACCAAAUCGUAUCCAAAAUUGAAUCUACAGGUAAGGCUCAAUUCCUACUUUUAAUGGAUUACUAAUACACCUCUGCCACCUCCAUCUACAAACACUUAGCACUUCAAUUUCUCUCCAAUCAAGCUUCUUCAUCUUCCUCACAAAGCCAAUGUAGUCCUCGAACCCAAUUAGGGCGAGGUCAGUAUAUUGUUUGUGGUUAUGAAUCACUUUUGAAUUUUUGAUUAGUCCUCUGAUGGGUUCGAUCUAAAGCUUUUAAGGGGAAAAUGAUUUUCUUAUAAACUUCAAUUGGGUUAUAAGCAUCGGUAAUUGGUUUGAAUUCUACAAGGGGCAUGUCGAACCUAACAUGAUUGUUUCUCUAUUGUGUUUCAAAAUUUUAUGGUCUUUUUAAAAUUGAUAUCAACUUACGUUUUAUUUUCUGAACACCAUAAUUAUCCUAAUUGUAAUUUAUACAAGAAGACUAUGUUAAGAAUGCAAUACAAGAUGCAUGGUUUGAAGCAAAGUAAAAAUUAUGAGUAAAUCGAUCUACUAACCGCCAUGUUGGUAACUUUUUUCUUGAAUGGACGGUCGAGGUAAAUGAAUAUUUUUUGGUAUAUCAGUAUCAUCUUUUUAGCUUAAUAUUUCCUUGCUAAAAUUUUUAUUUUGACAAAUUGCAUCCAGAGAAUAUAAGUAGUUUAAAUAUAUGGGAAAAUGAAAUGAACAUAAUGAUUUUUCUAAAUGAUGCUCUGGUCAUGGAAGUCUAAUCUCUGGGUCCGGGUUAUAACAUAAUUUGAUAUUUGAAUGGGCUCUGCAAGAAAAUGGUUAUCACACACCAGAUCAUUUUUUUGGUAUACUAGUACCAAUUUUUAUAGCUCAAUAUUUCGGAGUUGUCAGUACUUUUUAUGCUGUUUUAAAUGCUUUACAUUUUAAAAUUAUAAAAUUAAUAAUGGUUUUUGUUUCUUCUAUUUAGUAGAGAACUUGAAAACAUCUCCUCCUCUUUAAUUAUAUUCUGGACCAUUUUGCCCUUGGUGCGGCUUUGGUGUUUUUCUCCAAUUUUGGUAUUGAUAUGGUUUUAACUAAAGACUCAGAGUUACUCUACAUAUUUGUUAAGCAAAAAAUUCCACCCUUGGCGAGAGAAGACUGUUUGAUCCAAUACUUGACCAUAUUGCCCCUGGUGUUGCUUUGUGGCUUUAGUGAAAUUAAUUAGGUGUUUCCCAUGUUUACAAACCAAGACUUCACAAGAACCUUACAUACUUGCUAUGCAAAGAUAUCAAGGUUUAUUGAUUUUCCUGGUGAUGCUUGGAUUCAACACUUUAGUUCUUAUCUCCUGUUUGUUGAUCAGUGAGCAAACACUGUCUUUUUUUUGUGCUUUGUGCUUUGGUUUGUUGAUAUUAAUUGUUACUUUUUUUCCCUUUUAUGUUUAUCUGUAUCAAUUCUUUGUAUUGUUCCAUCCACCAGCUGGUCAAUUAAUAUUAUUUUAAAUAUAUUGCCUUCAAAAAAAAUGUAGUAGUGGCUUUCAAUUCCUUUAUGCCCUUGAAAAGAGCAAGGCAUAUGAACUUCAUAUAUUU